Long non-coding RNA from Apteryx rowi (Okarito brown kiwi), 1562 nucleotides. Lineage: Eukaryota; Metazoa; Chordata; Aves; Apterygiformes; Apterygidae. The record is from Ensembl.
UCUGUGUGGGAGGUUCGUGAGCUCAGAUGUGAUGCCUGGAAGGGAAGAUGCAUCAGGGAGGGGAGCUGAAAGCUGUGUUCACCUGAGCAGGUGCCAGUUUGUUGCUUCCUUGAUUUGUCUUCCCUGAGCAGCUUUUCAAGCAGGGCAAAAAGAGGAGGGAAGCCUCUUUCUCUUUCUGCAGCAUCAUGCAGUUAGUUGGGAUGAGGGGGCUUCUGAGAGGAGAACAAAAACUGACCCAAGUCCAUGUGCUUGGCUGCUUUGAACAGCCUCCCAGCCAUGGCUAUUCCCAGGCACAGGCGCCUCUCUUUUUGACAUAACCUCCCCCAAGUGCUUAUGUGCUCCGGAGGCAGAAUCGGGCCUUUCCGCUCCCCUCUAGCACCCAGCUAACUGACUCCUGAAAGCACAUACGCCUUUGGGCUUUUCCUGGCUGUCAGCGGCCUGUUAUGGUAUGUAAAGCCUUGUCUGUCCCUCGCAUGGCCGAAUUACCCGUGAGCACACAGCAAAAAGGCUCUGCUUCACUCUAGACAGUAAUCUGGGUGCUCAGCAGCUGUUGGCUAAGAUGGAAGGAUUCAGACUUCCAGUCCUCAGAUUUAGUGUGGGUAAGAAUGUUUUAGAUUGGGGUUAAGCCUGUUGGGAAGCCCUCCAGCAACUCACUGAAAAGACGGUUAUAUUCCUUUCCUGAAAUAAUUGUUUUUUUUCCUUUAGUAGCCCUCCUGCUUCGCCUGCUCCAUGGCAGUGUAGCUGUUCGUGACAGAGCUGGGUGUGUUGCUGCAUCGCUCUCAGGCCUGUUUUUUGGGACCACAUCCAGCAGCAAUAUCUUUGAGUUGCAGUUUAUCACUGAUAGUAGAGCAGGAAUCAGCAUUGUGGAGCAGCAGCCAUCUGGACUUGGAGCUAGUCAGCUUGAGGUUGUAUCCCAGCUCAGCAUGAAGCCUCAGGAGUAGAGCAAACUUCUGCUGGGAAGCUAUGAAGCUUCCCUUCCUAUCCCCGGAGAAACAUCUGAGGCUGGGCCUUGUCAUUCCCACCUCUGCUGCCACAGAGGCCCUUCUAGAGCCUGGAGCCUCUAGGAGAAGAAAAGGGGCACGUGAAUCCAGGCAGGAGAGGACGUGCCCUUUAAAGGCCAAGUCCUUUUAGGAGCAGCGGGCUGCUCUUAGGAAGGCUCCGUGCAGUCACAGCAGGGACCGGACCUGCGAUGGCUGUAGAUUCAGCUGCGACAACAAGCAGAGAAGGGGAGAUGAUAACGCAGCUGAUGGGCAAAGACGUGCUGAAGUAGUACCAGGUCUACGUGAGGCGUCACUCCAAGGAGAGCAGCGUGUGCCGCUAGCUCUCAGUGGACUUCYGGGGGCGCCUUUGCCCGUGGGAACUCUUCCCAAACCUGCCAGGGCAAAAGAGGGCAGAAACCCCCUCUGCGCUUUCCCAACAAGCGGAUAAUUUGACAGCUCUUUAAAAUUAUAGCAAAUCACCUUUUAAAUGUAAAUACUGCAAAACAUCGUAGACGCAUUCUGGGUGGGGACCCAGGGCUCACACACAACAUUGGCAAACAAGACGCGCAAAGGCUGUCGGAA